This 1307-nucleotide ribosomal RNA is filed under the name Bacillus sonorensis. RNAcentral's name for it is "bacterial SSU rRNA". It matches the Rfam family "Bacterial small subunit ribosomal RNA", at positions 56 to 1346 of the family's 1533-position model. The record is from RNAcentral. Lineage: Bacteria; Bacillati; Bacillota; Bacilli; Caryophanales; Bacillaceae.
UGCAGUCGAGCGAACCGACGGGAGCUUGCUCCCUUAGGUUAGCGGCGGACGGGUGAGUAACACGUGGGUAACCUGCCUGUAAGACUGGGAUAACUCCGGGAAACCGGGGCUAAUACCGGAUGCUUGAUUGAACCGCAUGGUUCAAUUAUAAAAGGUGGCUUUUAGCUACCACUUACAGAUGGACCCGCGGCGCAUUAGCUAGUUGGUGAGGUAACGGCUCACCAAGGCGACGAUGCGUAGCCGACCUGAGAGGGUGAUCGGCCACACUGGGACUGAGACACGGCCCAGACUCCUACGGGAGGCAGCAGUAGGGAAUCUUCCGCAAUGGACGAAAGUCUGACGGAGCAACGCCGCGUGAGUGAUGAAGGUUUUCGGAUCGUAAAACUCUGUUGUUAGGGAAGAACAAGUACCGUUCGAACAGGGCGGUACCUUGACGGUACCUAACCAGAAAGCCACGGCUAACUACGUGCCAGCAGCCGCGGUAAUACGUAGGUGGCAAGCGUUGUCCGGAAUUAUUGGGCGUAAAGCGCGCGCAGGCGGUUUCUUAAGUCUGAUGUGAAAGCCCCCGGCUCAACCGGGGAGGGUCAUUGGAAACUGGGGAACUUGAGUGCAGAAGAGGAGAGUGGAAUUCCACGUGUAGCGGUGAAAUGCGUAGAGAUGUGGAGGAACACCAGUGGCGAAGGCGACUCUCUGGUCUGUAACUGACGCUGAGGCGCGAAAGCGUGGGGAGCGAACAGGAUUAGAUACCCUGGUAGUCCACGCCGUAAACGAUGAGUGCUAAGUGUUAGAGGGUUUCCGCCCUUUAGUGCUGCAGCAAACGCAUUAAGCACUCCGCCUGGGGAGUACGGUCGCAAGACUGAAACUCAAAGGAAUUGACGGGGGCCCGCACAAGCGGUGGAGCAUGUGGUUUAAUUCGAAGCAACGCGAAGAACCUUACCAGGUCUUGACAUCCUCUGACACCCCUAGAGAUAGGGCUUCCCCUUCGGGGGCAGAGUGACAGGUGGUGCAUGGUUGUCGUCAGCUCGUGUCGUGAGAUGUUGGGUUAAGUCCCGCAACGAGCGCAACCCUUGAUCUUAGUUGCCAGCAUUCAGUUGGGCACUCUAAGGUGACUGCCGGUGACAAACCGGAGGAAGGUGGGGAUGACGUCAAAUCAUCAUGCCCCUUAUGACCUGGGCUACACACGUGCUACAAUGGGCAGAACAAAGGGCAGCGAAGCCGCGAGGCUAAGCCAAUCCCACAAAUCUGCUCUCAGUUCGGAUCGCAGUCUGCAACUCGACUGCGUGAAGCUGGAAUCGCUAGUAAUCGCG